This 253-nucleotide ribosomal RNA is filed under the name uncultured bacterium. RNAcentral describes it as "partial 16S ribosomal RNA". It matches the Rfam family "Bacterial small subunit ribosomal RNA", at positions 524 to 776 of the family's 1533-position model. The record is from RNAcentral.
UACGUAGGGGGCAAGCGUUGUUCGGAAUCACUGGGCGUAAAGCGCACGUAGGCGGAUGUGUCAGUCAGGGGUGAAAUCCCGGAGCUCAACUUCGGAACUGCCUCUGAUACAGCACGUCUUGAGUCCGAGAGAGGUGGGUGGAAUUCCUAGUGUAGAGGUGAAAUUCGUAGAUAUUAGGAAGAACACCGGUGGCGAAGGCGGCCCACUGGCUCGGUACUGACGCUGAGGUGCGAAAGCGUGGGGAGCAAACAGG